RNAcentral lists this ribosomal RNA (460 nucleotides) under uncultured bacterium. RNAcentral describes it as "partial 16S ribosomal RNA". It matches the Rfam family "Bacterial small subunit ribosomal RNA", at positions 338 to 795 of the family's 1533-position model. The record is from RNAcentral.
CCUACGGGAGGCUGCAGUGAGGAAUAUUGGUCAAUGGGCGGAAGCCUGAACCAGCCAAGUAGCGUGCAGGAUGACGGCCCUACGGGUUGUAAACUGCUUUUAUACGGGAAUAACGCGCCUUACGUGUAGGGCUUUGCAUGUACCGUAUGAAUAAGGACCGGCUAAUUCCGUGCCAGCAGCCGCGGUAAUCCGGAAGGUCCGGGCAUUAUCCGGAUUUAUUGGGUUUAAAGGGAGAGUAGGACGGAUGUCAAGCGUGCUGUGAAAUGUCCGGGCUCAACCCGGGCCUUGCAGCGCGACCUGGCGUGCGUGAGUCCGCGGAAGGCAGGCGGAAUUCGUGGUGUAGCGGUGAAAUGCUUAGAUAUGACGAAGAACCCCGAUUGCGAAGGCAGCUUGCUGCAGCGGAACUGACGCUGAUGCUCGAAAGCGCGGGUAUCGAACAGGAUUAGAUACCCUUGUAGUC